CUGGGGAGUACGGCCGCAAGGUUAAAACUCAAAUGAAUUGACGGGGGCCCGCACAAGCGGUGGAGCAUGUGGUUUAAUUCGAUGCAACGCGAAGAACCUUACCUACUCUUGACAUCCAGAGAACUUGCCAGAGAUGGCUUGGUGCCUUCGGGAACUCUGAGACAGGUGCUGCAUGGCUGUCGUCAGCUCGUGUUGUGAAAUGUUGGGUUAAGUCCCGCAACGAGCGCAACCCUUAUCCUUUGUUGCCAGCGAGUAAUGUCGGGAACUCAAAGGAGACUGCCAGUGAUAAACUGGAGGAAGGUGGGGAUGACGUCAAGUCAUCAUGGCCCUUACGAGUAGGGCUACACACGUGCUACAAUGGCGCAUACAAAGAGAAGCGACCUCGCGAGAGCAAGCGGACCUCAUAAAGUGCGUCGUAGUCCGGAUCGGAGUCUGCAACUCGACUCCGUGAAGUCGGAAUCGCUAGUAAUCGUGG
Molecule: ribosomal RNA, 475 nt
Filed under: Enterobacter sp.
Lineage: Bacteria; Pseudomonadati; Pseudomonadota; Gammaproteobacteria; Enterobacterales; Enterobacteriaceae
Description: bacterial SSU rRNA
Rfam family: Bacterial small subunit ribosomal RNA
Source: RNAcentral